GUUGUAUGGUUAAGUGACUAAGCGUACACGGUGGAUGCCUUGGCAGUCAGAGGCGAUGAAAGACGUAGUAACUUGCGAUAAGCCCAGAUUAGGUAGUAACAACCAUUUGAGUCUGGGAUUUCUGAAUGGGGAAACCCACUUACAUAAGUAAGUAUCAUUAACUGAAUACAUAGGUUAAUGAGGCGAACCGGGGGAACUGAAACAUCUAAGUACCCCGAGGAAAAGAAAUCAACCGAGAUUCCGAAAGUAGCGGCGAGCGAAAUUGGACUAGCCCUUAAGCUUUACACGCGUUAGACGAACGGUCUGGAAAGUCCGACGAUACAGGGUGAUAGUCCCGUAGUUGACGACGUGUGUUCAGUGAAAUCGAGUAGGGCGGGACACGUGAUAUCCUGUCUGAAUAUGGGGGGACCAUCCUCCAAGGCUAAAUACUACUGACUGACCGAUAGUGAACCAGUACCGUGAGGGAAAGGCGAAAAGAACCCCUGUGAGGGGAGUGAAAUAGAACCUGAAACCGUGUACGUACAAGCAGUAGGAGCAGGCUUUGUCCUGUGACUGCGUACCUUUUGUAUAAUGGGUCAGCGACUUAUAUUCAGUGGCAAGGUUAACCAUCUAGGGGAGCCGUAGGGAAACCGAGUCUUAACUGGGCGUUCAGUCUCUGGAUAUAGACCCGAAACCAGGUGAUCUAGCCAUGGGCAGGUUGAAGGUUGAGUAACAUCAACUGGAGGACCGAACCGACUAAUGUUGAAAAAUUAGCGGAUGACUUGUGGCUAGGGGUGAAAGGCCAAUCAAACCUGGAGAUAGCUGGUUCUCCCCGAAAGCUAUUUAGGUAGCGCCUCGGACGAAUACUACUGGGGGUAGAGCACUGUUAAGGCUAGGGGGUCAUCCCGACUUACCAACCCUUUGCAAACUCCGAAUACCAGUAAGUACUAUCCGGGAGACACACGGCGGGUGCUAACGUCCGUCGUGGAGAGGGAAACAACCCAGACCGCCAGCUAAGGUCCCAAAUUACUACUAAGUGGGAAACGAUGUGGGAAGGCUCAGACAGCCAGGAUGUUGGCUUAGAAGCAGCCAUCAUUUAAAGAAAGCGUAAUAGCUCACUGGUCGAGUCGGCCUGCGCGGAAGAUGUAACGGGGCUAAGUAGUAAACCGAAGCUGCGGCAAUAUACUUUUGUAUAUUGGGUAGGGGAGCGUUCUGUAAGCGGUUGAAGGUGUGUGGUAACGCAUGCUGGACGUAUCAGAAGUGCGAAUGCUGACAUGAGUAACGAUAAAGGGGGUGAAAAACCUCCUCGCCGGAAGACCAAGGGUUCCUGUCCAACGUUAAUCGGGGCAGGGUAAGUCGACCCCUAAGGCGAGGCCGAAAGGCGUAGUCGAUGGGAAACGGGUUAAUAUUCCCGUACUUCUUACAAUUGCGAUGGGGGGACGGAGAAGGCUAGGUGGGCCUGGCGACGGUUGUCCAGGUUCAAGUGCGUAGGCUUAAGAGUUAGGUAAAUCCGGCUCUUUUUAAGGCUGAGACACGACGUCGAGCACCUACGGGUGUGAAGUCAUUGAUGCCAUGCUUCCAGGAAAAGCCUCUAAGCUUCAGAUUGUAAGGAAUCGUACCCCAAACCGACACAGGUGGUCGGGUAGAGAAUACCAAGGCGCUUGAGAGAACUCGGGUGAAGGAACUAGGCAAAAUGGUACCGUAACUUCGGGAGAAGGUACGCUCUCGACGGUGAAGUCCCUCGCGGAUGGAGCUAUUGAGAGUCGCAGAUACCAGGUGGCUGCAACUGUUUAUUAAAAACACAGCACUGUGCAAAAUCGUAAGAUGACGUAUACGGUGUGACGCCUGCCCGGUGCCGGAAGGUUAAUUGAUGGGGUUAGACUUCGGUCGAAGCUCUUGAUCGAAGCCCCGGUAAACGGCGGCCGUAACUAUAACGGUCCUAAGGUAGCGAAAUUCCUUGUCGGGUAAGUUCCGACCUGCACGAAUGGCGUAAUGAUGGCCACGCUGUCUCCACCCGAGACUCAGUGAAAUUGAAAUCGCUGUGAAGAUGCAGUGUACCCGCGGCUAGACGGAAAGACCCCGUGAACCUUUACUACAGCUUGGCACUGAACAUUGACCCUACAUGUGUAGGAUAGGUGGGAGGCUUUGAAGCACGUACGCCAGUAUGUGUGGAGCCGUCCUUGAAAUACCACCCUUGUAGUGUUGAUGUUCUAACGUCGACCCCUAAUCGGGGUUGCGGACAGUGCCUGGUGGGUAGUUUGACUGGGGCGGUCUCCUCCCAAAGAGUAACGGAGGAGCACGAAGGUGGGCUAAUCACGGUUGGACAUCGUGAGGUUAGUGCAAUGGCAUAAGCCCGCUUGACUGCGAGAAUGACAAUUCGAGCAGGUGCGAAAGCAGGUCAUAGUGAUCCGGUGGUUCUGAAUGGAAGGGCCAUCGCUCAACGGAUAAAAGGUACUCCGGGGAUAACAGGCUGAUACCGCCCAAGAGUUCAUAUCGACGGCGGUGUUUGGCACCUCGAUGUCGGCUCAUCACAUCCUGGGGCUGAAGUCGGUCCCAAGGGUAUGGCUGUUCGCCAUUUAAAGUGGUACGCGAGCUGGGUUUAGAACGUCGUGAGACAGUUCGGUCCCUAUCUGCCGUGGGCGUUGGAAGAUUGAAGGGGGCUGCUCCUAGUACGAGAGGACCGGAGUGGACGAACCUCUGGUGUUCGGGUUGUGUCGCCAGACGCAUUGCCCGGUAGCUAAGUUCGGAAUCGAUAACCGCUGAAAGCAUCUAAGCGGGAAGCGAGCCCUGAGAUGAGUCUUCCCUGAUACUUUAAGUAUCCUAAAGGGUUGUCGGAGACUACGACGUUGAUAGGUCAGGUGUGUAAGUGCUGUGAGGCAUUGAGCUAACUGAUACUAAUUGCCCGUGAGGCUUAACCAUACAACACCCAAGGGGUUU
Molecule: ribosomal RNA, 2916 nt
Filed under: Vibrio parahaemolyticus
Lineage: Bacteria; Pseudomonadati; Pseudomonadota; Gammaproteobacteria; Vibrionales; Vibrionaceae
Description: bacterial LSU rRNA
Rfam family: Bacterial large subunit ribosomal RNA
Source: RNAcentral